Molecule: ribosomal RNA, 497 nt
Filed under: uncultured bacterium
Lineage: Bacteria
Description: partial 16S ribosomal RNA
Rfam family: Bacterial small subunit ribosomal RNA
Source: RNAcentral
GAUGAACGCUGGCGGCGUGCCUAAUACAUGCAAGUCGAGCGAACAGACGAGGAGCUUGCUCCUCUGACGUUAGCGGCGGACGGGUGAGUAACACGUGGAUAACCUACCUAUAAGACUGGGAUAACUUCGGGAAACCGGAGCUAAUACCGGAUAAUAUAUUGAACCGCAUGGUUCAAUAGUGAAGGACGGUUUUGCUGUCACUUAUAGAUGGAUCCGCGCCGCAUUAGCUAGUUGGUAAGGUAACGGCUUACCAAGGCAACGAUGCGUAGCCGACCUGAGAGGGUGAUCGGCCACACUGGAACUGAGACACGGUCCAGACUCCUACGGGAGGCAGCAGUAGGGAAUCUUCCGCAAUGGGCGAAAGCCUGACGGAGCAACGCCGCGUGAGUGAUGAAGGUCUUCGGAUCGUAAAACUCUGUUAUUAGGGAAGAACAAAUGUGUAAGUAACUAUGCACGUCUUGACGGUACCUAAUUAGAAAGCCACGGCUAACUACGUG